GGGCCCGCACAAGCGGUGGAGUAUGUGGUUUAAUUCGAUGCAACGCGAAGAACCUUACCAGGGUUUGACAUCCUGCGAAUCUCUUGGAAACAGGAGAGUGCCUUCGGGAACGCAGUGACAGGUGGUGCAUGGCUGUCGUCAGCUCGUGUCGUGAGAUGUUGGGUUAAGUCCCGCAACGAGCGCAACCCUUAUCCUAUGUUGCCAGCAUUUAGUUGGGGACUCGUAGGAGACUGCCGGGGUCAACUCGGAGGAAGGUGUGGAUGACGUCAAGUCAUCAUGCCCCUUACAUCCUGGGCUACACACGUACUACAAUGCUACGGACAAAGGGCAGCAAGUUCGCGAGGACAAGCAAAUCCCAUAAACCGUGGCUCAGUUCAGAUCGUAGGCUGCAACUCGCCUACGUGAAGGCGGAAUCGCUAGUAAUCG
This 426-nucleotide ribosomal RNA is filed under the name uncultured bacterium. Its description in RNAcentral is "bacterial SSU rRNA". It matches the Rfam family "Bacterial small subunit ribosomal RNA", at positions 917 to 1344 of the family's 1533-position model. The record is from RNAcentral.